AGAGCGAACGCUGGCGGCAGGCUUAACACAUGCAAGUCGAGCGGGCGUAGCAAUACGUCAGCGGCAGACGGGUGAGUAACGCGUGGGAACGUACCUUUGGUUCGGAACAACUGAGGGAAACUUCAGCUAAUACCGAAUAAGCCCUUACGGGGAAAGAUUUAUCGCCGAAAGAUCGGCCCGCGUCUGAUUAGCUUGUUGGUGAGGUAAUGGGCUCACCAAGGCGACGAUCAGUAGCUGGUCUGAGAGGAUGAUCAGCCACAUUGGGACUGAGACACGGCCCAAACUCCUACGGGAGGCAGGCAGUGGGGAAUAUUGGACUAAUGGGCGCGAAGCCUGAUCCAGCCAUGCCGCGUGAGUGAUGAAGGCCCUAGGGUUGUAAAGCUCUUUUGUGCGGGAAGAUAAUGACGGUACCGCAAGAAUAAGCCCCGGCUAACUUCGUGCCAGCAGCCGC
Molecule: ribosomal RNA, 451 nt
Filed under: uncultured bacterium
Lineage: Bacteria
Description: SSU rRNA
Rfam family: Bacterial small subunit ribosomal RNA
Source: RNAcentral